This 1965-nucleotide ribosomal RNA is filed under the name human gut metagenome. Its description in RNAcentral is "bacterial LSU rRNA". It matches the Rfam family "Bacterial large subunit ribosomal RNA", at positions 1 to 1980 of the family's 2925-position model. The record is from RNAcentral.
GUAAAUAAUUAAGGGCGUAUGGUGGAUGCCUAGGCUCUCAGAGGCGAAGAAGGACGUGAUAAGCUGCGAAAAGCUCCGUUUAGGUGCAAAUAACCUUUGAUGCGGAGAUCUCCGAAUGGGAUAACCCAAUAUGUUGAAGACAUAUUAUACCGUAAGGUAGGCAAACGCAGGGAACUGAAACAUCUAAGUACCUGCAGGAGAAGAAAACAAACGUGAUUCCCCCAGUAGCGGCGAGCGACCGGGGAUAAGCCCAAACCGUUAUUGUUUCGGCAGUAGCGGGGUAGUAGGACUGCGACAUUGAUGAAAUAAAUGAAAUGGAACACCUUGGAAAAUGUGAUCACAGAGGGUGAUAAUCCCGUACAUGCAAGUUUAUGAAUCAUAGCAGUAUCCUGAGUAAGUCGGGACACGUGUAAUCCUGACCGAAUCCGCCGGGACCAUCCGGCAAGGCUAAAUACUCCUGAGAGACCGAUAGUGAACCAGUACCGUGAGGGAAAGGUGAAAAGCACUUCGAACAGAAGAGUGAAAUAGUCCCUGAACCCAUACGCCUACAAGCUGUCGGAGCCGCUUCGUGCGGUGACGGCGUGCCUUUUGCAUAAUGAGCCUACGAGUUACUCAUCACCAGCGAGGUUAAGUACUUCAGGUACGUAAGCCGAAGCGAAAGCGAGUCUGAAUAGGGCGUCAAGUUGGUGGUGGUAGACGCGAAACCUUAGUGAUCUACCCAUGGGCAGGGUGAAGGUUUGGUAACACAAACUGGAGGCCCGAACCGGUAAACGUUGAAAAGUUUUCGGAUGACCUGUGGGUAGGGGUGAAAGGCCAAUCAAACUGGGAAAUAGCUCGUACUCUCCGAAAUGCAUUUAGGUGCAGCCUCUGUUGUUUUGUUCUAGAGGUAGAGCUACUGAUUGGAUGCGAGGGCUUCACCGCCUAUCAAAUCCGGCCAAACUCCGAAUGCUAGAACAUGAAGACAGGGAGUGAGCCAGCGGGUGCUAAGGUCCGUUGACGAAAGAGGGAGAACUCAGACCAUCAGCUAAGGUCCCCAAUUAUAUGCUAAGUUGGAAUUAAAACGGGGUGGGACUGCUUAGACAGCUAGGAUGUUGGCUUGGAAGCAGCCAUUCAUUUAAAGAGUGCGUAACAGCUCACUAGUCGAGCGGUCCUGCAUGGAUAAUACGCGGGCAUAAGCAUAUAACCGAAGCUAUGGGAUUGUAGAUGAUACAAUCGGUAGGAGAGCAUUCCAUUCAGCGUAGAAGCAGUAUCGUGAGGUAUUGUGGAGCGGAUGGAAAAGCAAAUGUAGGCAUAAGUAACGAUAAUGCGGGUGAGAACCCCGCACGCCGAAAGAUCAAGGAUUCCCCGGCAAUGUCAAUCAUCCGGGGGUAAGUCGGAUCCUAAGGGUAAGCCGAGUGGCGAUCCCGAUGGCAAACAGGUUAAUAUUCCUGUACUGAUCAUAACUGCGAUGCAGCGACGCAGAGGUGACACUGCUGCGUACUGACGGAAUAGUACGUUGAAACCCGUAUUCUUUGAUACCGGUAGUGAAGCACGCCGGUAGAGAUGAAAGGUGAUAGUACCGCAAUGCUUCGGUUGCGCGGAUAAUGCAGGUAAGCUGACUGCCAAGAAAACCUGCUAAGCUUCAGGUAAUGAUCAUCCGUACUGUAAACGGACACACGUGAUCAGGUAGAAAAUACUAAGGCGCUCGAGAGAUUCAUGGUUAAGGAACUAGGCAAAAUGGUCCUGUAACUUCGGGAUAAAGGACGCUCUUGUGAAAGAGCCGCAGAUAAUAGGCCCAGGCGACUGUUUACCAAAAACACAUGGCUAUGCUAAUUCGCAAGAAGAUGUAUAUGGCCUGACACCUGCCCGGUGCCGGAAGGUUAAGAGGAGAGCUCAGAGGUAACUCGAAGGUUUGAAUUGAAGCCCCGGUAAACGGCGGCCGUAACUAUAACGGUCCUAAGGUAGCGAAAUUCCUUGUCAGGUAAG